GUGGAACCAGGUGUCCUUAUUUCGUCUAUCAUCAUUUUGACUUUUUCAGGCACUUUGGUAGCAUCACUACAAAUUUCCUGCCACCCAGGCAGCUUGGAGUUGAGGAAUUCUGCACACUGCAUCCAAAUGUAAAAGACAUACCUGGGGGUAGAGACAGUGAAGAAAAACUGAUUGCUUAGCAUCAGCUGAGAGAACAGCCCCCUGCCUGCACCAGCCCCAGUAUCUUGCGAUUGUAUCGUGUCUGGUACGUUACCUGGAAAGUGUGUGGAUGGAUGAAAAUUAGAAGACUCAGGAGGAAGAGGAGAGCAAAAGGCAGAAGGCAUUGCGCUAAGGAAGGUAGCUGUUGGCAUAUAUGGAGCUAACAAAUCAUGCGACUAGAUGAAUUAUGGAAUUUCUUUAGGAUAGAGUCCUGUAUUCCAAGGAUAUGGGGGAAGAGAAGCUCUACAUGAUGUGGAAAAUGUGCGCGCAUAGCAGCUCUGUUUUCACUAGCUGAGUUGAGACAUACCGGGCGUCCAGGUUCAGCAGAUAGAGACCACGCUGUGGAAACAAGUCCACUGGAAGAGAACUCCCAGGGAGAGCUCCAGUACCUCACAUCUGCUCUGUGUAUACGUAAAGCUGCUGGGAAGGAUGAAGAAACAAUUUCUAGCUCAAAGCCUUCAGGAGCUGGAAGGCAUACAACCAAGGGAUCUUUUCUCCAUUAGACCAAGCAGUCUCUGGAAGUUUUUCAGUCUUUGCGCUGCCACAGUGCUUGAUUGUUAGCAGAAACGUCUGCGCCAAUUUCUAGGACAGGAACGCAUGAGAAACAGUGAAAACCUUUGCAAUGGAAAUUUCUCUUUGGAAUUUGCUCGGUUUAACACAGGGUAUGCUUAGCUGAUCUUCACAGCACUGUGCAAGGCUCAUCUUUCUUACUGAGGGUUUGUGUUUGAUAGAGACCCAGCUUUUUUUUUCCCUCCUCCUCCCUGCUGGAUCUACAAGACAACCUAAUGAAAUAUUUUUUAGAUGAUUUUUUCCUCUCUCCAGCAUCAGAGGGAAGCAUAUGUAUUGUUUUUUCUACUGGAGGCUAGAUUCUCAGAGCAAACAAAAACCUGCCCUUGCUUUGAGAGCUCUUUUUAUACAGCUAAUGACUGCUGCCGUCUUCAAAGCAGCUUCAUUCCGGGAAGAAAUACCUAGAGCACUUCUUCAAAAAAGCGAAACUGUCACUGGCAACUCCCUUUUCAGGAUCAGAUAUGAACUUGAUAUUGCCAAGACAUUUCAGAUCACUUAAAAUGAUUGUAGUAUUUCCUUUAACUUCAGAAGUUACAGAGUUAAAAACAAGCCACUCAGAAAUCAAUUUUAUAGCUGUUUAUUUUCAGGUGAUGCCUUACUAUUUUACAGCUUCCCGUAUCUGUAGUCUAAGGAAAAGGUCACGACAAGGACUGGGACCAACCACCAGUAGCACUAGUCAUACAUUAAAGCCAGAUCUGAGAAUUAAAAAAGCAGAGAUGGCAGAGCAGAGGAAUUUCUGAGCACGAGGCCCACUGCCUUAAAGCUGUCAGAAGUAACACGACCCCUAUGUUAUUUGACAACCGCUGUGCUGUACGCAGACAUUGUAAUAAAACUUUGGUCUCAGUUCUGUGGGACAUGACAAAGUAAGGGAACAGCUGAGAGAAAGUAGUUCACAAGACAUCGUUUGGCUGUUCAGUGAGCAACGCAGCCCAGGCCUCCUAAUUGUCAAUCUCAUGCCCUAUAUUCUAGUGACACACUACCUCUUGUGAAUGGAGUAAUUAACUAGAAAAGAACAGGAGGCACAUGAUUAGAUCCUACAGCUUUCUAUUAUUUAGGAUGAAUGGAAACGAAGGGAAACACUUUCAAGAGAGGCAACUGGAAACAUCUUUUUAUGCAGAAUGUUAGAGUUGGCACAAGUGAUCUUCCCAAAAAAGAGCUGAAGGGGGAUGUACUCUCUGGUAUGAAGGUUGCUGUAUGCCCUUCACCACAUGAAACCAACGCGUUAACCAGCCUGGCAGAAAAGACUAAGGAGCAACAAGCGGUGUAUUUCCACCUGGGUACAGGUAUCAUAUCUUCCACAGUUCCUGAUAGCCAUAUAAACAAGGUUAAUCUUCAAAACAAAUGAAAGCCAUUGUAAAAGUGCCUUCCUGUAAAGGCGCAGCUUUGCUUCUUACUUAAAGACACAGCUCGCAGAACAAUAGCUCAGCAGGUAUGGGUACAGCCAAACAAUGCACAGACUCCCCGUAGUUUCAAGUUUACAUCCUGCAGGCACUUUUGCAAGAGUGGAUAACAAUGUAUUUAGGUCAAAAUCCGAAAUUACAGAACUAAGACAGAAAAGUAGGUCUAAUGUUACUCAUAUUACUAUCACUACUGCUAUUUAUAGCUAACCUUUGUAUAGCCACUAGUUUGUUUAUAACGUUACAAGUCAAUUAGAAAAAAACAGCAACAUUAAUUUUUUUGAGUCUUUCAUGUUGUCUGAGAACCCGUUGAGGAGAUUCAAAAGGCCCUAUAGAAAGCCAAUCAUAGUGUUCCAUUUUGUACAUUAUUACAUCUCAUCUCUUUGAAAUCCAGAAUAAAGCUUUCAUAAGUGCAGGAUUAAGUCCUCAUGUUAAGCCAUCUCAGCUGUAAAUUGGCUUAAUAUUGUUUUAAAACAGGUCUAACAGAACAGAGAAAAAAAAAUCAGGAUGACAGUGUUUAAUCAAAAAGUCUAAUUCUUAUGACUAAUUAUUAGUCAGCUUGAUGUUUCAUGUUUAAGAGAAACAUUAAUACAUCGUCCACCAAUGCGUUCUAACUACAAAGUUUUCCAGGUUAUGAAUGUGUGACCCAAGACAGAAUAUAAGCAGACAUAACUAAGUAAGGUCAAAUAGAUAACUUGUACUAAGCUAGAAUUUAUAUGCUCACAGACUCCCAGAGGCCCUUUUUCCCCCAAAUUAGGAUUUAUAUUUUGGUGAUUCAAAACAAUACCCUUCCUGCAGCAUGCCACAAGUGAAUUUUAACUACUGACAGUAAGUCUGGUGGUCUAAUCUAAUUGUAAGCCUUUUUAAAAUGUGGAUAUGUGGAA
Anas platyrhynchos (mallard) is the source of this 3046-nucleotide non-coding RNA. The record is from RefSeq and is a predicted model, not a curated record. Lineage: Eukaryota; Metazoa; Chordata; Aves; Anseriformes; Anatidae.